This 492-nucleotide ribosomal RNA is filed under the name uncultured bacterium. RNAcentral describes it as "partial 16S ribosomal RNA". It matches the Rfam family "Bacterial small subunit ribosomal RNA", at positions 29 to 507 of the family's 1533-position model. The record is from RNAcentral.
AGUGAACGCUGGCGGUAGGCCUAACACAUGCAAGUCGAACGGCAGCACAGUAAGAGCUUGCUCUUACGGGUGGCGAGUGGCGGACGGGUGAGGAAUACAUCGGAAUCUACUUUUUCGUGGGGGAUAACGUAGGGAAACUUACGCUAAUACCGCAUACGACCUACGGGUGAAAGCAGGGGAUCUUCGGACCUUGCGCGAUUGAAUGAGCCGAUGUCGGAUUAGCUAGUUGGCGGGGUAAAGGCCCACCAAGGCGACGAUCCGUAGCUGGUCUGAGAGGAUGAUCAGCCACACUGGAACUGAGACACGGUCCAGACUCCUACGGGAGGCAGCAGUGGGGAAUAUUGGACAAUGGGCGCAAGCCUGAUCCAGCCACACCGCGUGGGUGAAGAAGGCCUUCGGGUUGUAAAGCCCUUUUGUUGGGAAAGAAAAGCGGCAGGUUAAUACCCCGCUGUUCUGACGGUACCCAAAGAAUAAGCACCGGCUAACUUCGUG